GAGCGUGGCAGGGAUUCACCACAGCUCAACCAAGCCGGGAAUUUGGCUGCUCUGUGCUUCACUCUGCCCUUUGGGAAGGUCUAAAACUGAGGGAAAUCACACCAGGAUCUCCAGCACAGGAGAGGGGAUCUCACCUGCCUUCACCUCCAAGGUUUCCUCUGCUCAGGAUGGGGUGAAACUGGGAAUGGGGUUACCAGGAGUAGGGAACACCCAGCCCUGGCCACGGAGCCGGGUCCCAGCAAGCCCCAGGAAGCCCCAGCCCUCCCCAGGGCUCCAGGACUCACUUGCUGGCGAAGAAGGCGACCCAGGGGAAGCGAAGGUCGUGAGUGUCCACGAAGACGUUCUGCACGAAGAGGUUUGGGGAGCAGCUGUGCUGUAACGGCAACAGGGACGGGCUGAGCCGCUGCCAGGGGGGGAGGCAGAGCAGCCAGCCCUGCACAGCCUUCCCAAACAAGCAGCAUUCCUGCUGUGCCCGCCGCGUCCAGCGGGAUCCUGCUGGAACAGGCCGAGUCACAGGACCCACCCUCACAGGAACACUAAGCUCUCUACCCAGCACACACCCCCUCCGUGCUCCAGGACACCCUUUGGAAGGGGAUCCCACCCGUGGACACCGCGAUGGGAAUACAGCGGGACGGGCACCCCAUCCCACAGGAGAUCCCUGGUGGAUUUUUACACAUGGUCAAUCCAGGGGCGAUCCCGAGGGGCCGGAAUUUCGGUGGUGGGGCACAUCCUGAACCCACCCUGGCAAUAACUCAGGAUUUCAGACGUCUCCAGGCACAGCACCGGAGGGGACACACCCUCUGUCCCCUGGUUUUUGAGCCCAAACCUCCCCAGGUGGGAUGGGAUCACUCACGUGGCCGACAGACGGGGUACAGCUCCCACUCCUUCACGUACGACGCGUAGCCGUCGUCGAAGAAGAUCAGGAACCUGGAAAACAGGUGGGAAUUAGGAAGGGAGCUGAACAGAAAACAGCUCCACGUCACAGAAGGGAAGUGGAGAACCUCUCCUGUUGCUCCUGGGCACAUCCCAACCCUGGGGGAGCCCUGAACUAUGGAUAAGGCACCCACUUAGUGCCACGUGUCUCGGAGUAACGGCUCCGGGCGCUGGAGUGGUACAACAGCAUCAGCACCACGACCAGGAGGAAAUCUGCAAGGUGAGUAAUAAAUGCAGCUCAUUUCCCAUUAUUAAAUGUGGAUCAAGUGCAACUCAGCACAGUUCAUGGCAGAUCCAGAGUCAUUAAACCCUUCAGCAGCCUCUUCAGGGAAACCACAAGCCGUGAUUUUAAUAGACCGGAGCAGCCCUGCCCCUUAUUCCCAUAAAAGCUGCUCCAAACCUGCUCCUUCUCCUCCCAAAGUGCUUUGACAGCACUGCUGGCACUAAACCCUUCCAGGGCUCCCAUUUCCUCCCACUGCUUCACACCUCAGGCAGCCCAGACUCCACAUCUGGGUGAUAAUUUGAAUAAAUUAGCAGAUCUAAUUCCUGUCUCAGGGCCACGAGCAAGAGAGUGGAAGCUCCACCCUGAGGUUUCAGAGAUAAGAUUAAAGAAAGACUCAAAACUCGUUCCUGGGGAGGGCAGAAUUCAGCACCUGAAGGAUACUCAAAUAAGCUUUUUUUGCCUCAAACAAACAAAAAAAAACACCCUAGAGCUGGGGGUUCAUGACCCUGGGAAAUUAAGGAAUACCUGUCUUUAUUCUUGACGUUGGGGGUCUCAGCCACGAUGCCAGCAUAGAGCCACAUCUGAUUGCCAUCCUUGUACCUGGCCACCACCCUGCUGCCCACGUGGUGCCUCUCAGGACACGGGUGGUAGUCAUAGGCAAUGUGGUUGCCCGAGAGCAAACUCUUCCCCUUGUUAUCAAAUUUCACUUUGUAUUUCUUGCCAGCACCUGGGAAGACGUUUUUCAAGAUAAACAGAAAACAAACGGAAGGGAAACUAAAUAGAAGCCGAGCGGUUUCAUCCCAGAGAGGCAACGCCCGGGGUCAUUCUGAGCCUGUUUAUUCACAAUCAACUCAGAGUUUAUUUAAAAUCUCUUCAGAAUCCAUUUGGAGGGUGAAACAGUGGAGCUGCGUCGCUCCCACUGUCCCUUCCAGGUUUGACACCAGGUGCUCCGACACCUUUUAAUCCACGUCUCCCCCCCCAGAUCCCAGGGAAAGCCCCAGGCCCAGCACCUACCGACUGGUUUGAUGGCAAUCAAGGUCCCUUUGUGCCACGUUUUGGUUCUUUUCUUGCCCAAAAUCCUCAUUCCCACUUUGAGAUCCCCGUCAGUGUUGAGAUCAUCCCCAGGGGCCGCGGGGGCAACGGGCUGGGCAGUGCCAGGACAUGCCUGGGGGGGCUGUGCCUCUGCCAAGGAACAACAAUCAGUUAUAAAUCACCCAGAGCUCCCUUUUCUGCUGGAGUUACAGCUGGAAUCACAUCCCUCCGAGCUGCAGCAGGAGGAAUUCCUGCUUUCCUUCCCCUCAGGCAGCCCAGCUGCCUCCGUUUUACUGCAGGGAAAGGACUUAGAGAAAAACAGGAGUUUGGAAUCAAUAUAUCCCAAAUUAAAGGAAAAUGGGAAUUUGGAAUCAAUAAAUCCUAACAGAGCUCCCCAGCAAGGAAACUGGAUCGUUGUUUGCCUUUUUUGGGAAGCAAAGGCCCAGGGCCAGGCCACACCAGGGGGUCUGUAGACCCCUGGAAGGUCCCA
Long non-coding RNA from Chiroxiphia lanceolata (lance-tailed manakin), 2678 nucleotides. RefSeq lists it as uncharacterized. The transcript has 3 exons. The record is from RefSeq and is a predicted model, not a curated record. Lineage: Eukaryota; Metazoa; Chordata; Aves; Passeriformes; Pipridae.